UAGGGAAUCUUCGGCAAUGGACGAAAGUCUGACCGAGCAACGCCGCGUGAGUGAAGAAGGUUUUCGGAUCGUAAAACUCUGUUGUUAGAGAAGAACAAGGACGUUAGUAACUGAACGUCCCCUGACGGUAUCUAACCAGAAAGCUACGGCUAACUACGUGCCAGCAGCCGCGGUAAUACGUAGGUGGCAAGCGUUGUCCGGAUUUAUUGGGCGUAAAGCGAGCGCAGGCGGUUUCUUAAGUCUGAUGUGAAAGCCCCCGGCUCAACCGGGGAGGGUCAAUGGAAACUGUGAGACUUGAGUGCAGAAGAGGAGAGUGGAAUUCCAUGUGUAGCGGUGAAAUGCGUAGAUAUAUGGAGGAACACCAGUGGCGAAGGCGGCUCUCUGGUCUGUAACUGACGCUGAGGCUCGAAAGCGUGGGGAGCAAACAGG
This 429-nucleotide ribosomal RNA is filed under the name Gemmatimonadota bacterium. RNAcentral describes it as "Gemmatimonadetes bacterium partial 16S ribosomal RNA". It matches the Rfam family "Bacterial small subunit ribosomal RNA", at positions 355 to 776 of the family's 1533-position model. The record is from RNAcentral. Lineage: Bacteria; Pseudomonadati; Gemmatimonadota.